CCUACGUGUGGCAGCAGUGGGGAAUAUUGCACAAUGGGGGAAACCCUGAUGCAGCGACGCCGCGUGAGUGAAGAAGUAAUUCGUUAUGUAAAGCUCUAUCAGCAGGGAAGAAACAGACGGUACCUGAGUAAGAAGCCCCGGCUAACUACGUGCCAGCAGCCGCGGUAAUACGUAGGGGGCAAGCGUUAUCCGGAUUUACUGGGUGUAAAGGGAGCGUAGACGGCGAAGAAAGUCUGAAGUGAAAGCCCGCGGCUUAACCGCGGAACUGCUUUGGAAACUUUUUUGCUGGAGUACCGGAGAGGUAAGCGGAAUUCCUAGUGUAGCGGUGAAAUGCAUAGAUAUCGCGCAGAACCCCGAUUGCGAAGGCAGCGUGCCGUGCCGCCACUGACGCUGAGGCACGAAAGCGCGGGGAUCGAACAGGAUUAGAUACCCUUGUAGUC
Molecule: ribosomal RNA, 440 nt
Filed under: uncultured bacterium
Lineage: Bacteria
Description: partial 16S ribosomal RNA
Rfam family: Bacterial small subunit ribosomal RNA
Source: RNAcentral